AUCAUCCUUUUCUUGGGGUUGUGCUGCUGUCCAAUGAGCACAUAGUGAGGGCAGUACUGGUAACUCCUAACCAACACACCCGCAUCAGCUAGAGCUUUGCUUUAUUUUACUUUGGUGCAAUUUUUGGAAAA
Molecule: non-coding RNA, 131 nt
Filed under: Aotus nancymaae (Ma's night monkey)
Lineage: Eukaryota; Metazoa; Chordata; Mammalia; Primates; Aotidae
Description: U4atac minor spliceosomal RNA (ENSANAG00000012062.1)
Rfam family: U4atac minor spliceosomal RNA
About the family: U4atac is an essential component of the minor U12-type spliceosome complex which is required for removal of the rarer class of eukaryotic introns (AT-AC, U12-type).
Source: Rfam by way of RNAcentral